GAUCAUGGCUCAGAUUGAACGCUAGCGGCAGGCCUAACACAUGCAAGUCGAGCGGCAGCACGUUCGGGUGGCGAGCGGCGGACGGGUGAGUAACACGUAGGAAUCUACCUAGUAGUCGGGGGAUAGCCCGGGGAAACUCGGAUUAAUACCGCAUACGCUCUACGGAGGAAAGGGGGCUUUGGCUCUCGCUAUUAGAUGAGCCUGCGUCGGAUUAGCUAGUUGGUGAGGUAAAGGCUCACCAAGGCGACGAUCCGUAACUGGUCUGAGAGGAUGAUCAGUCACACUAGAACUGACGACACGGUCCAGACUCCUACGGGAGGCAGCAGUGGGGAAUAUUGGACAAUGGGGGAAACCCCUGAUCCAGCCAUGCCGCGUGUGUGAAGAAGGCCUUCGGGUUGUAAAGCACUUUCCAGUUGGGAGGAAAAGUUUGUGGUUAAUACCCACGAGCCGUGACGUUACCAACAGAAGAAGCACCGGCUAACUCCGUG
Molecule: ribosomal RNA, 488 nt
Filed under: uncultured bacterium
Lineage: Bacteria
Description: bacterial SSU rRNA
Rfam family: Bacterial small subunit ribosomal RNA
Source: RNAcentral